AAAAAAAAAAAGCGCGACUUCACGUUGAGUUCCAUGAGUUACUUUUGUGAGAGCACACUGUAACGCCAGGCAUGGCUGGCCCCGGGCUGCUCGUGUACCAGACUGUGCUGCAGCUGGCGAAUUGCUCUUAUCCUGUUCUACUUACCGGUACAAUCAGCGUGGAUAGAUGAUUCAAGGCUGUCCACUAUGAGAUUCUAAAGUACUUUGUGAUUGAUUAAAAAAGACCUCUGCUCUGGAAA
This 239-nucleotide long non-coding RNA is filed under the name Rattus norvegicus (Norway rat). RNAcentral describes it as "long non-coding RNA NONRATT013603". Lineage: Eukaryota; Metazoa; Chordata; Mammalia; Rodentia; Muridae. The record is from RNAcentral.